Molecule: ribosomal RNA, 1367 nt
Filed under: metagenome
Description: bacterial LSU rRNA
Rfam family: Bacterial large subunit ribosomal RNA
Source: RNAcentral
UAACAGGUACUGGAGGUCCGAACCCACUAAUGUUGAAAAAUUAGGGGAUGAGCUGUGGAUAGGGGUGAAAGGCUAAACAAAUCCGGAAAUAGCUGGUUCUCCCCGAAAACUAUUUAGGUAGUGCGUCAUGUAUCACUUGCGGGGGUAAAGCACUGUUAUGGCUAGGGGGUCAUCGCGACUUACCAAACCAUGGCAAACUCUGAAUACCGCAAAGUGCGAGCAUGGCAGACAGACAGUGGGUGCUAACGUCCAUUGUCAAGAGGGAAACAACCCAGACCGCCAGCUAAGGUCCCCAAGACACAGUUAAGUGGGAAACGAAGUGGGAAGGCAUAGACAGCUAGGAGGUUGGCUUAGAAGCAGCCAUCCUUUAAAGAAAGCGUAAUAGCUCACUAGUCGAGUCGUCCUGCGCGGAAGAUGUAACGGGGCUCAAACUGUGCACCGAAGCUGCGGAUAUCGAAAGAUAUGGUAGGGGAGCGUUCUGUUGGUCUGUGAAGGUGUCUUGUAAAGGAUGCUGGAGAUAUCAGAAGUGCGAAUGCUGACAUGAGUAGCGAUAAAGGGCGUGAAAAGCGCCCUCGCCGAAAGCCCAAGGUUUCCUACGCAACGUUCAUCGGCGUAGGGUGAGUCGGCUCCUAAGGCGAGGCAGAAAUGCGUAGUCGAUGGGAAACAGGUCAAUAUUCCUGUACCGAUUCUAGAUGCGAUGUGGGGACGGAGAAGGUUAGGUCAGCCGGGUGUUGGACGUCCCGGUUUAAGCGUGUAGGCGUGCCCCUUAGGCAAAUCCGGGGGGCUAAGCUGAGGCGUGAUGACGAGGAACCACGGUUCCGAAGUGAUUGAUACCAAGCUUCCAGGAAAAGCCACUAAGCUUCAGUCUAGAGUUGACCGUACCGCAAACCGACACAGGUGGGCAGGAUGAAAAUUCUAAGGCGCUUGAGAGAACUCAGGAGAAGGAACUCGGCAAAUUAACACCGCAACUUCGGGAGAAGGUGUGCCCCGGUAGCGUGUAGAGACUUGCUCUCGAAGCGCGAUGGGGUUGCAGUGAAAUGGUGGCUGCGACUGUUUAAUAAAAACACAGCACUCUGCAAACACGAAAGUGGACGUAUAGGGUGUGACGCCUGCCCGGUGCCGGAAGGUUAAGUGAUGGGGUGCAAGCUCUUGAUCGAAGCCCCGGUAAACGGCGGCCGUAACAAUAACGGUCCUAAGGUAGCGAAAUUCCUUGUCGGGUAAGUUCCGACCUGCACGAAUGGCGUAACGAUGGCCACACUGUCUCCUCCUGGGACUCAGCGAAGUUGAAAUGUUUGUGAAGAUGCAAUCUACCCGCGGCUAGACGGAAAGACCCCAUGAACCUUUACUGUAGCUUUGCAUUGGACUUU